This 459-nucleotide ribosomal RNA is filed under the name uncultured Pseudomonas sp. RNAcentral describes it as "bacterial SSU rRNA". It matches the Rfam family "Bacterial small subunit ribosomal RNA", at positions 30 to 481 of the family's 1533-position model. The record is from RNAcentral. Lineage: Bacteria; Pseudomonadati; Pseudomonadota; Gammaproteobacteria; Pseudomonadales; Pseudomonadaceae.
AUUGAACGCUGGCGGCAGGCCUAACACAUGCAAGUCGAGCGGCAGCACGGGUACUUGUACCUGGUGGCGAGCGGCGGACGGGUGAGUAAUGCCUAGGAAUCUGCCUGGUAGCGGGGGAUAACGCUCGGAAACGGACGCUAAUACCGCAUACGUCCUACGGGAGAAAGCAGGGGACCUUCGGGCCUUGCGCUAUCAGAUGAGCCUAGGUCGGAUUAGCUAGUUGGUGAGGUAAUGGCUCACCAAGGCGACGAUCCGUAACUGGCCUGAGAGGAUGAUCAGUCACACUGGAACUGAGACACGGUCCAGACUCCUACGGGAGGCAGCAGUGGGGAAUAUUGGACAAUGGGCGAAAGCCUGAUCCAGCCAUGCCGCGUGUGUGAAGAAGGUCUUCGGAUUGUAAAGCACUUUAAGUUGGGAGGAAGGGCAGUUACCUAAUACGUAUCUGUUUUGACGUACCGA